CCCUGCAAGGAAAAAACCUGGCGGGCGGGCUGAAACCCCGCUAAAGCCAGCGGGAGCUUUGCUCCAGCAGGGUCAGGCUUUCGCAGGCAGGGUUUAUAUUACAAAAUCCUCCGGAGAGAGCGGUGCUGCGGAAACAGCGCGAGGCGCCGCACGUCACUCCUCGGGCACCCGGCUCCGAAACGAGAAUAAUUCAGAGUAUAUCGGAUGCCACGAAAAUCCUCAGAGCAGACUUGAAUGAAAAGCAAACUUGAAUUAGAAACAAGAGGACUGCAGCAAUACAGAGCUGAAGAGCACACGGCCAGAUGUUGCAAUAAGGGCAGAGCGAGCUACGUGGCGGCUCUCGCACGGAGGGGCCGAGCCAGCCGCGACGCUCGGGCAGCGGCAGGUUUGGGGAGGAGGACAGUGGUCCCGCGCCGCUCGGCAGAGCUGGCUGCGGCGCGCCGUGCCGCGAGAGAGAUGCGAAACGCCCCUGCCCAGCCGGCCGGCGGGAUGCUUCUCCUCGGGGCGACUGCAGCAAACACUGUAGACUGAUUUUCUUUUUUACUAAACAAAGACUGAAACCAGGACAUGCUCACCCUUAAGAUUUAUGCGUUUUGAAAACAACUCAGAAGGCAAGAAGGCAGAGCACGAAGAAUCAAAGCAAAAAGCAAAUCAGCAGAAUGGCGCAAACAUGCAGAGAUGAUGCUUCUUCCUCCUUUUUGGAGUCACUCCAUCGGUAGAUUUGCUAAGAAAUAAAUUACAGGCCAGACUCUUCCCAGACUAUGAAUAUAGUUGAAACCUAACAAAAUACAGAUUAUAUAUGCAGCAGUUCUGGAAGAUCCAUUACGCUAGAAAUUGGCACGUGCAUUGACAGCUGUGAUUAUUUUAAAUUACAGCCCUACUUCCAAAUCAUUCAUCCCCUAUGGCGCUAAGAGGUAUACAAAGAAACACUGAGAGAGCAAUAACUUGUUCCAAAGGCUUACGAAAGGAAGAGUUCAGACAAAUGUGGAGAGAAAGGGAUAUAACUCAUGAGAUUGUUGAUGCUUAGAAGUAUGUAUAAGCAGUGUCCUGAAAAAGGCAUUUCUCCUGUUGUAAGAGCACUCGGGGAGCCACAAAGCCAGCCAGCUUCCCUGGAAAUCAAUGGUGUUAAAAGGCCAUUAAUUAGGUGUCUGCCCCAAUGCAGAUCUGGCCGUGGGAGACUGACCCAGCUCUGCAUCUGGAUGGAUACUGGAUACCUGGUGCGCUCCUGAGACACCACGGUGUAUCUGAGAAGAUGCACUCUGGCGAAAGAUGGGAGAAGGCCACGUGCAUCCAUGGUUUCUCAGCAUUUUCAGUUUACUGGGCAAUGAACACCAACAGCAAGAAGGAGAUGUCAAAUCCUACCAAACCCAGUUAUAAACUUCUAAUAUUUCCAUCCAUCUUCGGACUAAAUGCUAACACUGAUACUUUCACAUGAAUUCAAAUGACCCUCAACAAGAGCUCUCCACAUGGCUUGACACCAUCGUCUUUAACACGAUAGUCACAGCUAAAGGGAAGGCUCACACACAUCAUCCAUAUUCCGUCUUGCUCCACAUCCCAAGCCAGUGGAGAAAAGUGCAUCAUCUCCCUAAUUUAAAAAAUAUAUUGACCCUGCUGUUUAUUCUAAAGAAAGAGCAUCAACGUUGGGCAGCAAUGCAAGCACAUUUCUCAGGACCUGAAGUUGCCCGACACACGUUUCAUCUUACCAAUAAUAAGUCGUAAAGUCCACAGGUUUUAAAUCCCUUUCUCGAAUUGCUUCGCUUUGGCCUGGAGCCUGUACCACGGCACACCACGAUUGCACCCGGCGCGUGGGACGGGCACGCAGCGCUGCCUCCUCCCCGAAAGCCGAGCCCCAGGGCUGCAGGCGCACCGCGGCGCAUGCUGGGUCUGGGGUGCAAUUUGACUAAUCUUCAUAAUACUCAGAUAUAAUUCUCAAGGUACUGUAAUCAAACAUUUAAUGCCCGUCUUUAAUACAAAUUAAAGAUAGGCAGCUGUGCCUUUUUGGAUCCAAAACAUCCAUUUGCUUUCACAUACGUGUGAGUUACGAGCUCAUUUGCGCUGACAGAAAAGAGAGGUUGAAUAAAUCUAACGCAACCAAGUAUUAGAGACCGAAAAUCCCUUUACAAAGAGUCGACUUCUUAACCACCUUUUAAUUCUUCUCAGGUAUUUCCGUCUUCCAUUUGGCAUGCAGAAUUUAAGCAUAUGUAAGCCACAUGCAGAAAAUAGCUUAAUAGUGCGCUUCAUCUCGGCGCCACGUGACGGAGGGCAGCAAUAUGCCCGGCCGCUCCAGUCGGCCUCAUCAGUUAUUUUUGACCCUGGGAGAACUUUGCAUGUCAUUAACUGAGCUCUCUUUGUCGCUGGAAAUGUUGCAGCCGCUCACGGUAUCUAUCAAUAACACCGCCACGGCAAGAAAACACUUCAAAGGGCUGGGGAUGGCGGGGUGGCUCCCUGUGGAACAGCAGCCUCAUCCGAGCAUCUUUGAAGCCAACAGAAAGACUCUACUGGUUUUAAUCGUCUUGGGAUCCAGCCCUGAAGGUGCAGCCAAGAGCCCAGGACUGACGAAGACUAUUUUAUUUUACCGAGUACGUGUGAAUUGCUUUAGCCUAAUCCUCACCGCGUUUCCUGCUCUGGAAGACGAAGGCGCAUCUCCUUCACUAAGACCUCGCUAAAGCGGCAAGGCUGCGACCCGGUUCCAAAGCUUCUCCCUGGGCUGGGAGUGGGGAAAAACAGAGUAUGUACCCCAAAAGUUCUUAGAAACGCCUACAAGACUUCUGCGUGGUUAGGUGCAGAUGCCGACCAUUCAAAAGCCAGCCUUGACGCUGCACGUCCCCAACAGCGACUCUGCCGGGGAACUCGGGGGGGGGGGGCUGGGACCGCGUUCUUCCUGGCCCCUCCUGCAGAAGACCGCUGUCUCCGCGCUGCUCCCCUGGUCGCACAGGGCCGUGCUGCCGCCAGCGGGAAGGCAGCAAGCAGUGUCCAUCUGGUGCCAAAAUUGUUCAAUAGCCCUCAGUAGAAAUGAGCAAAUUUUAGUUAAAAAAAAGAAAAAACAAACAAAAAAAACCACGCAGCACAGAUCAGUCAAAAGGGAUGGAGCAGCUCUGCUUCUCGCUAACUGCUUCUCAGGCACUCGAUGGGCAGCUGACUACAGGGCAGAAAAGCAAACUACCAACGAGAAUCUAGGUACAUUCUCUGCUAAAACAGAAAAGUUUCAAAAAAUGCUGUCAGGCCACUUCUCCAGGCCCCGUGCAUCAGCCCAUGAUUCGGGAGGCAUUCGAGAUAACGAGUGCAAGCUGCGGCGAUCACCAAAUGAACUCUCUGAGAUAAUGAACUCUCAGAUAGCUCAGGAAAGGCUGAAAGGGGUGGGGGGUGGAGGAGAAUUAGACUAAAACCAUCUUUAUCAGAUUCUGCCAGGAGCAACUUUUCGGAGGAAAUUAAAAUCAAUCCUUGUAGGCUUAGAUUUCCACACAUUAAGGAUUAUAUUAAAAGUAAGCACUCAUUCAUUCUUUCCAGCCGUCUGAGCCAAACCAUGUGCCAGAUAAAGUAAAACAGGGAGGAUGACGGAGCCCUACAGGCUGCUUCUCCCUCGUACAUCCCCUUCACGUGAGGGCUGCGCUCCUGGAUGUCCGCGCACUUCUACAACUGCAAGCACAGGCCAACCACGCGCCCUAGCAGUUACAUUUCAGCAUCCUAUUAGCGUACACCAGUCUCCUGCUAUCACUUAAGCUGCUCUUAUCGGAUGCUGGUAACUUUGAAAUCACAGCCUUUUACCACCCGCCCCUCUGCAGCCUCGCUGGAGCGCAGAGGACCCUGCAGACACACCACCAAGAUAAGCACGGAUCGCUCCUCGCCACUUAAAAGCAUCCGAGUCUUUGCACGUUAUCCACCAACAAGUGCUCUGUGGCACUCAAACACUAACUUCAUUAGCGUCAAAGCAGCAAGGUAUUUCAGCUCAGGCCUGAUUUUCAGCGUGUAAUUCCCUUGGCUUCAGUAGGACAAGCAACAAGCUUAAAAUAAGGGUGAAGCUCCACGUUACGGUUUCUGCCUCCGCUGCAGCACUUUAGGAGAUGUUUAGGAAAUGUUUGUUGCUCGUUGCUUUGAAACCCCAUUCUUCCUGCUGCAUUGGUCCAUCGCGAGGACCGUGCCUGUGGGGUGGGGAUGCGGCGUGUGGGGCACAGCUCACCCAGGUGGGCUUUCUUUUUUCUGCCAAAUUGUAAAAGGUAGCCACACCACGGUGCAUAUGGCUAUUGAGAGCUGCAGAGCCCACGGUCCUGGUGAUUUUACCUGAUACGGGGCCAGAACAUCCGAUACUUGCACAUUAAAAGAGACAGUGGUCUCUACACUCAAGGGAGCAAAAGCAAAACGAACCAAAGCAUUGCAUAACAGCUUAGAGGAGGCUUUAGAAAUGCUUCAUCUGAGCUGACUUCCCAGAGAAAUGGGUGGACUGAACAAAAGACAUGAACGUUAGCGGUUUCUUUUGGACCGUGCAGUCCCAGCACGCUUGUGAACAUCGUCCAGAAACCCCUGUGGAAAUGUCCUGAGGGGCCAAAGGACGUCCUGGGGCGUGCACAGAGCGGACUGCCCCGGCGUCCCCGAGGAGCGGUCCUCACCCCGGCCGUGGGCAGGAGGGAACACGCGUGCUGCCUCGCCCCCAGCUCUGCUCGCCCUCGCUGGGCAGCGCGCGCUGGCUGUGAGCCCGCCGGCUUCUCCACUCUUAUCACUGCAGUCAACACAGCUGGCUGAAACAGCUUCCUACCUGAUUAUGUGCAGGAAGAAAUAAAAUAAUACAAUAGGCCUUUGCCUUUCCAUUGCCAAGCCAAGCUGUAGUGACCGGUGAAUGAACUGGGAUGAUGUCUAGUGACAGGUAAAAAAGGGAAGUUUCUUAAAGAAAGGGGUUCGACUUAAUUUGUUACAGCAGAAGACGGGGAGAGGCUGAUGUGCCCGGAGCCCGUUCUUCCAGCCAGCAAAGACUGUCCCAGAAGAAAUGACUCUGUUGGGUGGAGGCUCUACCAACUCUUCCAAGAUUUAAGGCCCCAAGAGCUGAAGUCAAUAGAAUGACUUCUCUGAGCUUGGGGACAUCACAGAAUAAAUGGGAGAAAAACAGGUAACUACAGCAAGAGGAGAAGUCAUGGAUCUCUUCUAUUGCUUCCAUCUGCUACAAAGCACCUUCUCCACCUCCCUCGACACCGCCCGCAGUGUCGUUACAUCCCGCACGGAGGCUUCACGAGUGCCGGAGGCAGCAGGGCCGGGAACACACAAAGCCUGCCUUCAGAGCUGCGUCUCUGCACUGGUGCAACCUAUUCGACUCAAAAAAACAAACAAGAAAAAACACCAAGUAGCGACCGCAGGUCUCCCCGGGGAGGGAAGCAUUGGAUGUCAUUUCCUCAAAUUAGGAGGAAAUGUGUGAGCCACCCAAGGAAGCCAGUAUAAUGGGAUGUAGAAGAGACUGAUGAAGCCUAUUUUCCAUGCUGUGGCACUUUUUUGAAAGUAGCAAUUGAAGCAGCAAGCAGUCUAGGCAAACUGACACUUCAUUUUCUUAGAGAACAGUUGUAUUAUAACACCAUUUAGAAAUCCCAGAUUUCUCUGUGCUAGAUGAUGUGAUACACAAAAUAAGCCAGCCCCAUUUCACAGGUGAGCAUCACACCGGGUGGUUGUAGCAGCGUUGAGCUUCUUACUACUCCCUGGCCUUAUAAAGAAAAAUCUUGGCUUAACGCAGCAGUGAUCAAACACUGUUUGCCUGCCUGCGUACAGUCUUGGGCAUCAAAAACAUUUUCAUACAUGCUGCUGGCUCAACUCGUCUUCCCUGUGAGCUAGUAAAAAGCAAAACACGAAUAGAGCAUUAAGGGGGUUGGAUUGAGAGGGACUACGUUGUUGUUCCUUAAUGGCUGCACCGAUCAGCUGCCAUGCAAGUCGGAAGCGCAGUAGAUGCCUUUGUGCUUAGUGUCCCUCAUCAUCACACCUUCUUGUUUCUAAACCUUACAGUCCCCUGCAUUCGAGCAGCAGCUAUGAUUGCAGUUUGGGGUAUAUGCUGUAAAUUCAGAGCAUGGGCAAAAACACACACAGACUUCCCAGCUCAGGGAGCUACUUGAAGAUGCUGAACUUCACAGCUCAUCCUUGAAAGCGUUUUACUGCUGUGUUUCCUGCAGUCUAACACAUAUUUCAAUUACUGAAAAAGCUGGUGCUUUGGGAAACAAAUGCUCCCAGCUAUUGCAAUUUUAUUUAUUGCUGUAUUUUUCAUCUGUGUGCACAUGUAUCAGAUCUACAGACUUUACAAAGUCAGCAGCCAUCAACGGCCCAACCACGACAUGUCGGCUGAAGCCAGCCACCGCCAAACAGCCCACCAGCAGUGCCGUAACCUUGUGCUGAAGCUCAGGCCAGCUGUGUGCGCCCUAGAAAGUCACCGUCUCAGGGAGGAAACGCGUAAGAAGGGAAGCAUAAAAAACGAGCCACUGAAGCAGACCAGACGCAGCCAGACAGGCACUACACCCCUCAGUGUCACCUUCGUGGCCCGUGGCUCCCGCUCCCUGCGGCUAUCGCUGCCGAAGCACUUCGGGCUGCUGUAUAACGUGCCAGGGAGCUGCUGGCAGGGGCUGAGAGGGGACGCGCUCGCUUUGGCAGGAGAAAGGCAAGCACUCUCAUAGUAAGCUAGGACAGAUGCUAUGGGACUAUAAAGGAGGAUAAGAAACAGCAGUGAGUAAUGAUGCAGUUCCCAGCUCUGGCUGGGGACGUAUACUGAGGAACUUCAGAAAUGAUGCAUCAUCUAGGGUUGGAAGGAGGAGAAAAGUUUCAAGAUACAGGAAAACAGCCUUCCCGAGUCAAGCCCCGACUCCUGCUAGCUCCCGUCCCCAGCAGUGGCACUAGCAGAGGCUGUUGAAGGACAGCGGGCAAGUCUGGCCGCUUUCUGUGGUUCCUUACCCUGGCACGUCCCCAGCGCCCACUCGUUGCAUCAGGGAGGUUAGAGGGGACGCUCCCGCCCAGUCCUUUCUAUUUCUGCAUCAAACUAAAAGAUGUUAGGUUUAACCACCUGGUCACAUCACAACGGGUGCAACCAUCCGUAGUGGAGGUGUGUGGAUUAAGACAGCUGAGAAUUAAGUUGUAGGCAAUGAAGCCUGUGAGGGCUUGAUCCUGCAAAGCCCUGCGGUGCACACCGGGGUUUGAGCACCCGUGUCGCAGAUCGGUCCCUGACCUGCGGCUCUAGCACGUGGGGUUUCCAGGGUUGCACUACAGCUCUCCUGGUUACAUGGAGUCCCAACGCCAUAGCAAACAGGAGACGGCAGAACUGAGAGCAAAAAUAUGUAUAGUUCUCCCUAUUUAAGGAGAAAUGACAGAAGCAGCAAUGAAGGACCACUAAUGAUAGGCAAACACAGUAAAAAUUAAAAUAAGAAUUAGAGAUUAUACAGUAGCAGCAGAGGAUAUAGUGAUGUUUCACUGCCUACACGGCAGCUUUGCUCUGGGGUUGCCACAGACCAGGCGUGCUGAAGCCAAAGCAGCUCCCCGGUAAUAGCGGGGUGACUCUUGAGCAGGGCACUUGGGUAACUGGUCAUCACUGGUUUUACCCACCUGUGACCAUGCUAGAGCCACUAGCUGUGGCUCUGAGCCCCAGCAGGGGAGGUGGCCACGGAGUUAUCAGAUGAGGAAACUCAGCUGUGACAGCAUCUGUCCCUGCCGCCCUGGACAAACUUGGGCUGAGACAUUAACAGCAGCAACCCCAACCAAAUUUAGCCUUUGGGAUGAAUGCCAAGAAGGACACAAGGAGAAACAGAAAAGGCCAGCAGCAAGACUGCCGGUGUCAUGGUGCACAGGGUGGCUUUCACCGUCCCACGGGGGAUGUGGCGUUUCGGAGCCGUGGGCACCGGCAGCGUGGCACAGUCUGCACCGACAACACAUGCAGCGCAGGGCUGCUGUUUUAAAUAAAAGCAGACAGGUCUGUGCUGUCACAGGCCUUUCUCCGAUGCAGGAACCAAAGCAAACAAGUUCUCUGCAUUUUAUCAGCGUGCGGAACUGGCAGUCCCUGGAGCCACUAGGUCUGACUAAUCCUAAAGAGAAGGGGGGCAACAAACCCAGGAAAAAACAGCUUAGACAGACCAAACCACACGUACAGCCAACAGCUUUCAGACAGGUGGUAGCAGAUAGCGAUAGGCUAAGAAGUUCUCAUUUUGUUCUGCAUCAGCUUUAUUAAAUCUUUGCUAAGGCACCUAUUUCUGCAUGCCUCUCUACAGACACCCAAACCACGCUGCGCAUCCCUGCGCAUGGGUUCGGGGUGCUGGCACUGUCCGUCCAGCCGCCCUUUGGGGAUGCAACAUUUGCCCUUUUCACACGGCCUCUCAUGGGUGGGAUCGUUAUCAUUAGUCUUCCGAUAACGCCCGGCCCCACAGAGAAAUACAGACGUGCUGUGGCAAUCGCAGAGCCUGCACCACCAUCGUAUCGUCGAGGGGUAGGAAAAGCCACGUGAGCAACUGAAGAGCUCAGGGGACCUAUCACUUCAUUUUCCAGGGUGGCUUUGUUACUGCAAAAACACGUAUAAACAAUCACAGCGCAACUCAAUGAUGCUGCUGUCGCAGCAGAUUCAUUUUCUGCAGAGGAGAGGAAGAGACCAGCAGAGGUAGGUACGCUGGCAACCGAGCCUGCCCCGGUUAUCGCUGACGCCUUAGCAAGAGCUGACACAGGGCCUGCUAGGAGCAUCCUCCGAAGCACGAGCGGGCAACGCGGCUGGUGAACAGCCUCUUUGCAGCGGGUUUCACGGAGAGGGCGCUUUGCGAGCAGUAGGUCAGGGGGCUGACAGGAAAAAUGCAAAUAACCUGAACUUCCAAUGACACCAGUUUGGAGACUGAAAGUCCUGAGCGCUGCUUCCCGGCAUGGGUGCCGCAGGCAGGCUGCGCUCCUCCUACCUUGUCUCCGGAGCGACUCUGCCAUUACCUGUGUCCCUGCACCGGCAGACCCAGCCGGGGAGCCCUGUAAAGACCUCGGCCGCCAACGCUAUCGCCUUCCAGCCCUGGCUGAUGGGGCAUGGCAUCAUCAUCCGCAACCAAAACCGAAUUCACAUCGACCGCCAUAGGAGAAAGCUUGGAGUUCACCAAGUUAAUAUUCUAAUUCUUUUACACUAAGCCUCCAUUUCUGGGCUGUUAGAUCACAAAGUCUUCAAAGAAUAAGAAAUCAGCAUUUCUGCCUAUUUGAUAAAGAGCUGGGAAGCACACGCCAGUUUUCAGGACACUAAGAGCUAUAUGGCAAUUGCAUUAGUAGCUAGAACUUUUGGUACCAAGGAGCGACAAGCACUUGCCAAAGCACAGUAGAGAUUACUUUUAAAAUUACAACACUCUUAAGGGGGAAAAAAAACAAACCAAAACAAAAUCCAAUAUUGUCCACAGGUCAAAUUCAAACGAUUACUAACCCGAUGCAAUGAAAUCCAAGUGACUCACCCAACUGAACCAGGACACUCCUGUGAGAUACAACUACUUUACCUUAUCUGUGUAUAUUUUCUAAUUAGGAAGGAAUGAGAAGCCCACGACAAGUGAAUUCUACAUUAUUCAUAAAUUGUAGCAGGACACAGUUGUAUGUUGUGGUAAACUAUAUCACUGUUACUUCUCUUAAGAAAAAGAUACAGACUGGUUACGAACCUGAUCUUUUUUUAUUUUUUCCCCCUCUUAGAACUAACAAUUUUAUUUCUAGAUAUAAAAAGCACCCAGCCCCCAGAAUUGGCAAGUUUCUGAUAAAACACAUCUAGAAAUCACACAGCAGCAAGUGCGGGAUGCAAAGACCAGGUCACCUGCUUAGAGAUCCAUGUCCCAGCUACUGCAGAUCCCAUUAACAUAAAUGAUGUAUAUACAUACUGGAAGGAGAGAGGAAAUUCCCUACGGCAAUCCAGCUCCUUUUCUUAUAUCUGUGCCCCUAACAGAAAGGGCUUCCACAAGCCUCUGCAGCAUCCGCCCAGGGCUCUGCAAGAAACUCCCCGUGGUUUCAGGGCGAGCUCUCCACCAGAGCACAGAGUCUUGGCUCAAAGCCCACGAGAAUUUCUUUUAACUUAAUAGAAACAAAAUUUCACACAGAUAGUUGCAAGGAGUGGAUCUACUCCAAGAUAAGCGGGUUCGGCCUCAGGUUUUCAGGGAACUGGUGACUAAUACUCUUUGUGAGCAUCUCCCUCAUUCUCGAAAAUGUGGCACAAUUUCCUCUCGUUAUCUGAGAGCCUGUAAAGACAUCUUUGCCUGUUCCCAUCACAAGGCGUUCAGAGGAGAAAAAACAGUCUUUGUACCCCAGUGACAGUCUCUGCGUGUUUUCUAAAGCAGUAUUUUAAUAAAAAAGUAAGGUUGAUCAUGUGGCUUACAGUUCUCCAGUGUUUAGAUACAUGUUCUUAAAGAAGCAAGGAAAUAAAGGUAUCACCUUCUCUCAGUCUUCUUUGAACACACAUUAUAAUGACACUGCAUCUCACCAGUCUAUUAUAGAAUUAUCAUUUACACACAGAACCUGUUCACCCCUUUAAUUCUCUCCUUAAAAACCAGAUUAAACCAGUCAGAUAAAAUCACUUGUUUACUGUGUCAGAUUGCAGGGGAAUUUUGCCUAAGGACUGAGGGUUGGACUCUUCAGACUCUCUCUGCUUUAGUUUGUAUGUAUUUUACAGUAUUAAUUUCAGUCAAACUUGUGUGAAGCUGAGCCAAUCAGAUGCCUGCAAGAAAUUAGUUAACCAAACUUUGUAAUUCAUACACUUUUGACUGCAUUUGUUUAAUUACUGAGAAUGACAGUUUCUAUUGCAGGACAAAGCAAAUAAAAGUGAAUCAAAAGAUGGAACAUUG
Dromaius novaehollandiae (emu) is the source of this 10778-nucleotide long non-coding RNA. RefSeq lists it as uncharacterized. The transcript is spliced from 6 exons. The record is from RefSeq and is a predicted model, not a curated record. NCBI's taxonomy places the organism in Eukaryota, Metazoa, Chordata, Aves, Casuariiformes, Dromaiidae.